GAGUUUGAUCCUGGCUCAGAAUCAACGCUGGCGGCGUGCCUAACACAUGCAAGUCGAACGAGAAAGGGUAGCAAUACCUGAGUAAAGUGGCGCACGGGUGAGUAACACGUGACUAACCUACCCUGGAGUGGGGGAUAACUGAGGGAAACCUUAGCUAAUACCGCAUAACACCUACGGGUCAAAGGAGCAAUUCGCUUCAGGAGGGGGUCGCGGCCGAUUAGUUAGUUGGCGGGGUAAUGGCCCACCAAGACGAUGAUCGGUAUCCGGCCUGAGAGGGCGCACGGACACACUGGAACUGAAACACGGUCCAGACUCCUACGGGAGGCAGCAGUGGGGAAUUUUGCGCAAUGGGGGAAACCCUGACGCAGCAACGCCGCGUGGAGGAUGAAGUCCUUCGGGACGUAAACUCCUUUCGAUCGGGACGAUUAUGACGGUACCGGAAGAAGAAGCCCCGGCUAACUUCGUGCCAGCAGCCGCGGUAAUACG
Molecule: ribosomal RNA, 486 nt
Filed under: uncultured eubacterium WR1114
Lineage: Bacteria
Description: bacterial SSU rRNA
Rfam family: Bacterial small subunit ribosomal RNA
Source: RNAcentral